RNAcentral lists this ribosomal RNA (301 nucleotides) under uncultured bacterium. Its description in RNAcentral is "partial 16S ribosomal RNA". It matches the Rfam family "Bacterial small subunit ribosomal RNA", at positions 509 to 807 of the family's 1533-position model. The record is from RNAcentral.
CAGUCGCCGCGGUAAUACGGAGGGGGCUAGCGUUGUUCGGAAUUACUGGGCGUAAAGCGUACGUAGGCGGCUUUGUAAGUUAGAGGUGAAAGCCUGGAGCUCAACUCCAGAAUUGCCUUUAAGACUGCAUCGCUUGAACGUCGGAGAGGUGAGUGGAAUUCCGAGUGUAGAGGUGAAAUUCGUAGAUAUUCGGAAGAACACCAGUGGCGAAGGCGGCUCACUGGACGACUGUUGACGCUGAGGUACGAAAGCGUGGGGAGCAAACAGGAUUAGAUACCCCUGUAGUCCCUGUCUCUUAUAC